This 253-nucleotide ribosomal RNA is filed under the name uncultured bacterium. RNAcentral's name for it is "partial 16S ribosomal RNA". It matches the Rfam family "Bacterial small subunit ribosomal RNA", at positions 524 to 776 of the family's 1533-position model. The record is from RNAcentral.
UACAGAGGUCUCAAGCGUUGUUCGGAUUCAUUGGGCGUAAAGGGUGCGUAGGCGGCGUGGUAAGUCGGGUGUGAAAUCUCGGAGCUUAACUCCGAAACUGCAUUCGAUACUGCCGUGCUUGAGGACUGGAGAGGAGACUGGAAUUUACGGUGUAGCGGUGAAAUGCGUAGAUAUCGGGAGGAACACCUGUGGCGAAAGCGGCGCACUGGACCAUAACUGACGCUGAGGCGCGAAAGCUAGGGGAGCAAACAGG